GAUGAACGCUGGCGGCGUGCCUAAUACAUGCAAGUCGAGCGAACGGACGAGAAGCUUGCUUCUCUGAUGUUAGCGGCGGACGGGUGAGUAACACGUGGAUAACCUACCUAUAAGACUGGGAUAACUUCGGGAAACCGGAGCUAAUACCGGAUGAUAUUUUGAACCGCAUGGUUCAAAAGUGAAAGACGGUCUUUCUGUCACUUAUAGAUGGAUCCGCGCUGCAUUAGCUAGUUGGUAAGGUAACGGCUUACCAAGGCAACGAUGCAUAGCCGACCUGAGAGGGGGAUCGGCCACACUGGAACUGAGACACGGUCAAGACUCCUACGGGAGGCAGCAGUAGGGAAUAUGCCGCAAUGGGCGAAAGCCUGACGGAGCAACGCCGCGUGAGUGAUGAAGGUCUUCGGAUCGUAAAACUCUGUUAUUAGGGAAGAACAUAUGUGUAAGUAACUGUGCACAUCUUGACGGUACCUAAUCAGAAAGCAACGGCUAACUACGUG
This 497-nucleotide ribosomal RNA is filed under the name uncultured bacterium. RNAcentral describes it as "partial 16S ribosomal RNA". It matches the Rfam family "Bacterial small subunit ribosomal RNA", at positions 28 to 507 of the family's 1533-position model. The record is from RNAcentral.